Molecule: ribosomal RNA, 373 nt
Filed under: uncultured organism
Description: partial 16S ribosomal RNA
Rfam family: Bacterial small subunit ribosomal RNA
Source: RNAcentral
GUAGGUGGCAAGCGUUGUCCGGAAUUAUUGGGCGUAAAGCGCGCGCAGGCGGUUCUUUAAGUCUGAUGUGAAAGCCCACGGCUCAACCGUGGAGGGUCAUUGGAAACUGGAGAACUUGAGUACAGAAGAGGAAAGCGGAAUUCCACGUGUAGCGGUGAAAUGCGUAGAGAUGUGGAGGAACACCAGUGGCGAAGGCGGCUUUCUGGUCUGUAACUGACGCUGAGGCGCGAAAGCGUGGGGAGCAAACAGGGAUUAGAUACCCUGGUAGUCCACGCCGUAAACGAUGAGUGCUAAGUGUUACGGGGGUUUCCGCCCCCUUAGUGCUGCAGCUAACGCAUUAAGCACUCCGCCUGGGGAUACGGCCGCAAGGCUG